AUUUUCAUGACCUUACUCUCUUAUAAUUGCAGCUGGAGGAUUUCAGAGGAAUGAUUUAAAAUUUAACAGGUUUCAUCAGAUUAAUGAUAGAACUGAUGAGCUCCAGAUCAAAUCUGGAGGAUGGAGAGUUCUAGUUUUCAACACUGCAAGGAGGAGAUACGACUCCAAAAGAUGUCGGGACAGGGCUCUUGCACCUUGGUGACUGUGUCAACCAGAUUCAGUGGUGGGUACAAGCAGUGAGGACACCAGCUCCAGUCCCCGUCCCUCUGCUGUCCCCGGAACUGCUGUGGCAGGAUUCUCCAGGCUGGGUUAAAGACUCAGUGAAAUCUAUUUUGUAACAGACAGACGAGGAGCAACUUCCACAGAGACCUACUGCACCAACUCAUGAAGUCAGCAAGCCUGAAGGAAUCACAUCGCCUUGAAGCCACCGCAAGGACACGGAAAGUGGUUGAAAACAUAACUCAGCCUCCUCAGCGAGCACCUGGCUGUGCCCUCACCCAGAGGAGACUGUGGAAAGCCCACAGAAUGGAGAUACAGAGACGGACCCAAAGACAUAGUCAACGAGAAGCUGCUGAGGAACACGAGGGUCCCUGUACAUCCCCUGAGGACUGA
Molecule: long non-coding RNA, 612 nt
Filed under: Calidris pugnax (ruff)
Lineage: Eukaryota; Metazoa; Chordata; Aves; Charadriiformes; Scolopacidae
Description: lncRNA (ENSCPUG00000019364.1)
Source: RNAcentral